This 554-nucleotide long non-coding RNA is filed under the name Musa acuminata (dwarf banana). RNAcentral describes it as "long non-coding RNA (MACU_LNC004456)". Lineage: Eukaryota; Viridiplantae; Streptophyta; Magnoliopsida; Zingiberales; Musaceae. The record is from RNAcentral.
GCCGAGUGGUUGUCGCCAUAGUACAGCACGUCGCCCACCAGCUGGUCCGGCCCGAUGCCCUCCUCCUCGUGCACCUUCUCCAUGCCCUUGUAGAAGGUGAAGUGGGGCACCCGGUCAAUGCCCUCCCGCCGGCACAGCUCCCGUGUCUGCUCCGACUCGUCGCCCAUCACCAGCAGGAACUCCACGUCGCUGCACGUCCAGCUCAGCUCCACCAUGAAGGGGUAGAUCCGGCGGCUGUUGGGGCUGUGGCUCGCCGCGUACUCCACCACCACCAGCUUGUUCUUGGCGGCGCGGAGGGCCGCCUCGAACUCGUCGACGUUGUGCACCUUCUGCACCCGCUCGUCGCUGGCUGUGGACCGGCUCUUGGUGCCGCUCGCCGCCGCCGAGGCGCGAGGGCAGAACGACGCCGGCUUGCCGAGGGAUGACGGACGGUGUCUUAUCCUGGUGGAGAAGAAGUGGGAGAGUGGGGAGUGAGAAGAAAGGGGCGCGGGCUGGCCUAGUCUGGAGAGGCAGGAAGAGACAGAAGAAGAGGAAGUUGGAGGAGACCCAAAGAG